AUUGAACGCUGGCGGCAUGCUUUACACAUGCAAGUCGAACGGCAGCGCGGGCUUCGGCCUGGCGGCGAGUGGCGAACGGGUGAGUAAUGCAUCGGAACGUGCCCAGUAGUGGGGGAUAGCCCGGCGAAAGCCGGAUUAAUACCGCAUACGACCUGAGGGUGUAAGCGGGGGACCGAAAGGCCUCGCGCUAUUGGAGCGGCCGAUGUCGGAUUAGCUAGUUGGUGGGGUAAAGGCUUACCAAGGCGACGAUCCGUAGCUGGUCUGAGAGGACGACCAUCCACACUGGGACUGAGACACGGCCCAGACUCCGACGGGAGGCGGCAGUGGGGAAUUUUGGAAGAUGGGGGCAAUCCUGAUCCAGCCAGGCCGCGUGCGGGAAGAAGGCCUUCGGGUUGUAAACCGCUUUUGUUCGGGAAGAAAUCCUCUGGGCUAAUACCCCGGGGGGAUGACGGUACCGGAAGAAUAAGCACCGGCUAACUACGUG
This 484-nucleotide ribosomal RNA is filed under the name uncultured bacterium. Its description in RNAcentral is "partial 16S ribosomal RNA". It matches the Rfam family "Bacterial small subunit ribosomal RNA", at positions 28 to 507 of the family's 1533-position model. The record is from RNAcentral.